GAGUUUGAUCCUGGCUCAGAUUGAACGCUGGCGGCAUGCCUUACACAUGCAAGUCGAACGGCAGCACGGGGGCAACCCUGGUGGCGAGUGGCGAACGGGUGAGUAAUACAUCGGAACGUGUCCUGUCGUGGGGGAUAACCAGUCGAAAGACUGGCUAAUACCGCAUGAGAUCGAGAGAUGAAAGCAGGGGACCGCAAGGCCUUGCGCGAUUGGAGCGGCCGAUGUCGGAUUAGCUUGUUGGCGGGGUAAAAGCCCACCAAGGCGACGAUCCGUAGCUGGUUUGAGAGAACGACCAGCCACACUGGGACUGAGACACGGCCCAGACUCCUACGGGAGGCAGCAGUGGGGAAUUUUGGACAAUGGGGGCAACCCUGAUCCAGCCAUGCCGCGUGUGUGAAGAAGGCCUUCGGGUUGUAAAGCACUUUCGGACGGAACGAAAUCGCACGGGUGAAUAUCCCGUGUGGAUGACGGUACUGUAAGAAGAAGCACCGGCUAACUACGUGCCAGCAGCCGCGGUAAUACGUAGGGUGCGAGCGUUAAUCGGAAUUACUGGGCGUAA
Molecule: ribosomal RNA, 559 nt
Filed under: uncultured bacterium
Lineage: Bacteria
Description: bacterial SSU rRNA
Rfam family: Bacterial small subunit ribosomal RNA
Source: RNAcentral